RNAcentral lists this ribosomal RNA (806 nucleotides) under Cryphalus sp. C BHJ-2012. RNAcentral describes it as "eukaryotic LSU rRNA". It matches the Rfam family "Eukaryotic large subunit ribosomal RNA", at positions 406 to 944 of the family's 3401-position model. Lineage: Eukaryota; Metazoa; Arthropoda; Insecta; Coleoptera; Curculionidae. The record is from RNAcentral.
CGUUUAGGGGUAAACCUGAGAAACCCGAAAGGUCGAAGGAAGAAAUUCAUUCGUGUUCAUUAGGAUUAUUGUGUGGUAUUGGUGUGUCGAAAGUUCUCUUUUGAAUUUUUGCCCUGCUAUACAAUAAAUGUAUUCUAUUGAACGCGUGCACUUUUCUUCUGGUAGGACGUCGCGAUCCGUUGAGUAUCGAUCUACGAUUUGAAUGGUAGACCGUUUUCAUUGAAUUCUUGUUAAUUCAAGUGAUUACGAACCUUCAUUUCUGAUCGAUUCGCUCGACGGUAUAAAUGUGAAAGGUUUUUGGCCGCUUUUAUAAAGCGUUCGGCUAUUGGCAAGCACGUUAAAUGUUUUAGCACACGGACCUGGUGCCGUGUCUGAUCCUUAACGACUGUUGGCCUUUAAUGUCUCGAACAGUGUCAAUUUAACCAAUCAGCGACGAUAUAGCUUUGGGUAAUUUCAGGACCCGUCUUGAAACACGGACCAAGGAGUCUAGCAUAUACGCAAGUCAUUGGGAUUUUCAAUAAACCUAAAGGCACAAUGAAAGUAAACGUUUUCCUUUAACGGUUAACGAUGGGAAGAUGGGCGUCUAAUUUUAAUUAAUUAACGUUCAGCAUUCCCGGGGCGUCUCACUCUCAUUUUUUUAAUGAGAAGAGGCGCACCAUGAGCGUAUAUGCUGGGACCCGAAAGAUGGUGAACUAUGCCUGGUCAGGACGAAGUCAGGGGAAACCCUGAUGGAGGUCCGUAGCGAUUCUGACGUGCAAAUCGAUCGUCGGAACUGGGUAUAGGGGCGAAAGACUAAUCGAACCAUC